GACGUAGGGCGCGAGCGUUGUCCGGAUUUAUUGGGCGUAAAGAGCUCGUAGGCGGCUUGUCGCGUCGUUCGUGAAAACCUGUGGCUCAACUACAGGCUUGCGGUCGAUACGGGCAGGCUGGAGUUCGGUAGGGGAGACUGGAAUUCCUGGUGUAGCGGUGAAAUGCGCAGAGAUCGGGAGGAACACCUGUGGCGAAGGCGGCCAACUGGCCCGACCCUGACGCUGAGGCGCGAAGGCGUGGGGAGCGAACGGG
This 253-nucleotide ribosomal RNA is filed under the name uncultured bacterium. RNAcentral's name for it is "partial 16S ribosomal RNA". It matches the Rfam family "Bacterial small subunit ribosomal RNA", at positions 524 to 776 of the family's 1533-position model. The record is from RNAcentral.